Long non-coding RNA from Macrobrachium nipponense, 737 nucleotides. RefSeq lists it as uncharacterized. The record is from RefSeq and is a predicted model, not a curated record. The transcript is spliced from 3 exons. NCBI's taxonomy places the organism in Eukaryota, Metazoa, Arthropoda, Malacostraca, Decapoda, Palaemonidae.
GAGCGAGGUUCGUUCAUUAGGUAAUGCGGUGAUCGGUGCUGUGUUAUAUAAAAAGGUUCUUCGUUUUGCGUGUUCGCGCUUCGUUGAGAUUCGGGUCUUCAGUUCGUCUUUCGGUGCUGGUUAGAGUCUGUGCUUGAAAUUUUUGAUGCUGAUUUUUCGACUAAAGCGAAUAAAGUCUUUCGACGGCCUUAAGGUAGACCUAUGUAAGACGCCUUUUGUAAAUAUUUUCAUCCUCUGAACUCUUUGAUUGUUGGACUUCUAAAAGAGUCGUGGCAACGAGGUGUACGUAUUAGUACCCAAUACAUUGAAAAAUACGAACUUCUAUGGAAUCGAACGUGGCUACGAACAAAAGGAAGAACAGACUUCGGAACUAUAACCUGGCUUGAACCUGUUAGCAAUAGGUUAACCAGGAAAAUUAUGGCUGUCUUCGAGUAAUUGUGAAACAGCCAAAGAAAAUCUGCAUAUUGGUUUGGUCUUAUCAAGGUCUUUGUGGAAACCGUUCGAAUGGAAAUGCCUUUUUGAGCGUAAUAGGCUAAACCACUCGAAAGGAAAUGCUGUUUUUGAGCAUAAGAGGCAUAAACUGGGAAAAAUUAUGGCAGUCUUCCAGUAAGUGUGAAACUGCUAAAGAAAAUCUGCAUACUGGUUUGGUCUUAUAAAAGCUUUUGGUCGAAAUCUUUCGAAUGGAAAUGUUAUUUUGAACGUAAGCUUGUUAUUGAGAAGUUAAUAAAGAUUCAUAU